CACGUAGGCGGGUCUUUAAGUCGGGGGUGAAAUCCUGGAGUUCAACUCCAGAACUGCCUUCGAUACUGAGGAUCUCGAGUCCGGGAGAGGUGAGUGGAACUCCGAGUGUAGAGGUGAAAUUCGUAGAUAUUCGGAAGAACACCAGUGGCGAAGGCGGCUCACUGGCCCGGUACUGACGCUGAGGUGCGAAAGCGUGGGGAGCAAACA
Molecule: ribosomal RNA, 207 nt
Filed under: uncultured bacterium
Lineage: Bacteria
Description: partial 16S ribosomal RNA
Rfam family: Bacterial small subunit ribosomal RNA
Source: RNAcentral